AAUGAACGCUGGCGGCGUGCUUUACACAUGCAAGUUGAGCGAGGCGGCCCGCAAGGGCCAGUCGAGCGGCGAACGGGUGAGUAACGCGUGGAUUAUCUGCCCUGAGGUGGGGAACAACCAGGGGAAACUCUGGCUAAUACCGCAUGAUACCGAGAGGUCAAAGGGGGCUCGCAAGGGCUCUCGCCACAGGAGGAGUCCGCGUUCGAUUAGCUAGUUGGUAGGGUAAUGGCCACCAAGGCGACGAUCGAUAGCCGGCCUGAGAGGGUGAUCGGCCACACUGGAACUGAGACACGGUCCAGACUCCUACGGGAGGCAGCAGUGGGGAAUUUUGCGCAAUGGGCUAACGCCUGACGCAGCAACGCCGCGUGGAGGAUGAAGGUCUUUGGAUUGUAAACUCCUGUCGGCAGGGAAAAAGCGACACGACCUAAUACGUCGAGGAGUUGA
RNAcentral lists this ribosomal RNA (444 nucleotides) under uncultured bacterium. RNAcentral's name for it is "bacterial SSU rRNA". It matches the Rfam family "Bacterial small subunit ribosomal RNA", at positions 29 to 477 of the family's 1533-position model. The record is from RNAcentral.